UGGGGAAUAUUGGACAAUGGGCGAAAGCCUGAUCCAGCCAUGCCGCGUGAGUGAUGAAGGCCCUAGGGUUGUAAAGCUCUUUUGUGCGGGAAGAUAAUGACGGUACCGCAAGAAUAAGCCCCGGCUAACUUCGUGCCAGCAGCCGCGGUAAUACGAAGGGGGCUAGCGUUGCUCGGAAUCACUGGGCGUAAAGGGUGCGUAGGCGGGUUUCUAAGUCAGAGGUGAAAGCCUGGAGCUCAACUCCAGAACUGCCUUUGAUACUGGAAGUCUUGAGUAUGGCAGAGGUGAGUGGAACUGCGAGUGUAGAGGUGAAAUUCGUAGAUAUUCGCAAGAACACCAGUGGCGAAGGCGGCUCACUGGGCCAUUACUGACGCUGAGGCACGAAAGCGUGGGGAGCAAACAGG
RNAcentral lists this ribosomal RNA (404 nucleotides) under uncultured bacterium. RNAcentral describes it as "bacterial SSU rRNA". It matches the Rfam family "Bacterial small subunit ribosomal RNA", at positions 355 to 776 of the family's 1533-position model. The record is from RNAcentral.